This 69-nucleotide antisense RNA is filed under the name Labedaea rhizosphaerae. Its description in RNAcentral is "Labedella sp. RS-49 ASpks TB sRNA". It matches the Rfam family "ASpks TB sRNA". The record is from Rfam by way of RNAcentral. Lineage: Bacteria; Bacillati; Actinomycetota; Actinomycetes; Pseudonocardiales; Pseudonocardiaceae.
CUUCACCGAACCCAGCCACAACGGCCGCUCGCGGCCCUGGCCGUAGGUCGCCAGCAAUGCCGUCGCCUC